AGUGAACGCUGGCGGUAGGCCUAACACAUGCAAGUCGAACGGCAGCACAGUAAGAGCUUGCUCUUACGGGUGGCGAGUGGCGGACGGGUGAGGAAUACAUCGGAAUCUACUUUUUCGUGGGGGAUAACGUAGGGAAACUUACGCUAAUACCGCAUACGACCUACGGGUGAAAUCAGGGGAUCUUCGGACCUUGCGCGAUUGAAUGAGCCGAUGUCGGAUUAGCUAGUUGGCGGGGUAAAGGCCCACAAAGGCGACGAUCCGUAGCUGGUCUGACAGGAUGAUAAGCCACACUGGAACUGAGACACGGUCCAGACUCCUACGGGAGGCAGCAGUGGGGAAUAUUGGACAAUGGGCGCAAGCCUGAUCCAGCCAUACCGCGUGGGUGAAGAAGGCCUUCGGGUUGUAAAGCCCUUUUGUUGGGAAAGAAAAGCAGCAGGUUAAUACCCCGCUGUUCGGACGGGACCCAAAGAAUAAGCACCGGCGAACUUCGU
This 491-nucleotide ribosomal RNA is filed under the name uncultured bacterium. Its description in RNAcentral is "partial 16S ribosomal RNA". It matches the Rfam family "Bacterial small subunit ribosomal RNA", at positions 29 to 506 of the family's 1533-position model. The record is from RNAcentral.